Molecule: long non-coding RNA, 182 nt
Organism: Drosophila obscura
Lineage: Eukaryota; Metazoa; Arthropoda; Insecta; Diptera; Drosophilidae
Exons: 2
Source: RefSeq, a predicted model, not a curated record
UGAAGAAAAUGUGAUAGUGCGAAAUUAAAUUUUUGGACGAAAUUUUUCAUUUCCAACAACGAAAACAGAAAAAAACCACCCGAUUGGUUCUUGCGAGUCUUGAGUCGAACAGGCGAUUCAGUUGAAUGACCACGACGACCUUACGAUCAUGAGCAAAUCAAAAAAACUAAAAAGGUUCUGUG